UUAUAUAUAUAUAUAUUUUUUGCAACGUAUUUUUAUUUAUAUUUCAAUCAAUACAAAUUAUGCAAAUGGCUUUUCAACUAGUACACCUGAUGAAGCGCGAGUCCCUGCCAUCAGGAAUUCAGGACUUACUGUGGCAUGAGCUCCUGCCUCCUAAUCAUUGGCAGGUUGCUUCCAAAAAAUGAGAUAAGCCUCCAAAGUCCAGACCGUGCAAAGGUAUGGCGUCAGUGUUAGCGUCAUGCAUGUUGACUAGGAAAAGCAUCAGACCUGCAACAAAUAAUUCAAGAACGAAGCAUCAUCUCCCACCAAACAAUCAUAUCCACAAAAUAAGCAAUCGAUCCGAAGUGAACGGUAGCCCC
This 356-nucleotide long non-coding RNA is filed under the name Panicum hallii. RNAcentral describes it as "long non-coding RNA (PHAL_LNC000732)". The record is from RNAcentral. Lineage: Eukaryota; Viridiplantae; Streptophyta; Magnoliopsida; Poales; Poaceae.